AGAUGAUGCCACAUCUGGUCCAGCUGAUGGAAGGUCUUGAAGUUCUCUGACUGGCCUCGACUGAAGAUGGUCGUCUCACUGGAUUUAAGAUGCACAAUGAGGGACGUCUGCAGAGACUGAGAAAGAGUCUCACCACAUCCUGACAUGAGGAAAAAGACUUUAUUGAAGACUGCAAUGAGAAAAACUAUCAGACAGCAGACGGCAUGCAUUCAAGUUGAGCUCUGAACAUUUGAUCUGGAACAGGAAUUCAAUAACGGCAGCAUGAGCUUCAUUUCAGUUUGUAGCUGCUGAAUUCAUGGAUGAAUCAUCUGGCACUAGAGAAGAAGACCAUCAAACAUCCAUGUCAGCUGAUGGAGGUCCAAGAGUCUCACCGAACAACCAACCUACAGAGUGAAGACCUCAAAUCUGAUUGGACGGCCUCCUAUUCAGCCACGUGUCAACAAAUGCCUCUAAGUUGAUUUGUUUUCUAAAAUAAAUCUAGUUUGAGUCCUAAUCUAUGCCUGUGUGUUUGCUUCUUUACACCACUGUUAACAGUUUAGGCUGUUAGAUUGUUCCAGAUAAGACAAGUACAAGAUUCUUCAGAGCCGUUCUACCACGAGCCUGACAGGAAGAACUCCAACAGCUACUGAAUGUUCCUGUGGUUCCCUCAAGGCUACAGGAGGAGUCCUACGAGGACGAGCCGGUCCACCUGAUGGCGGCCAGUCGC
Long non-coding RNA from Amphiprion ocellaris (clown anemonefish), 706 nucleotides. The record is from Ensembl. NCBI's taxonomy places the organism in Eukaryota, Metazoa, Chordata, Actinopteri, Pomacentridae.